UAACCUGCCCAAGAGAUCGGGAUAACACCUAGAAACAGAUGCUAAUACCGGAUAACAACAGAUGAUGCCUAUCAACUGUUUAAAAGAUGGUUCUGCUAUCACUCUUGGAUGGACCUGCGGUGCAUUAGCUAGUUGGUAGGGUAACGGCCUACCAAGGCGAUGAUGCAUAGCCGAGUUGAGAGACUGAUCGGCCACAUUGGGACUGAGACACGGCCCAAACUCCUACGGGAGGCAGCAGAC
This 240-nucleotide ribosomal RNA is filed under the name uncultured Lactobacillus sp. RNAcentral describes it as "partial 16S ribosomal RNA". It matches the Rfam family "Bacterial small subunit ribosomal RNA", at positions 122 to 354 of the family's 1533-position model. The record is from RNAcentral. Lineage: Bacteria; Bacillati; Bacillota; Bacilli; Lactobacillales; Lactobacillaceae.